Molecule: long non-coding RNA, 3824 nt
Organism: Anolis carolinensis (green anole)
Lineage: Eukaryota; Metazoa; Chordata; Lepidosauria; Squamata; Anolidae
Source: Ensembl
GGGUGCUUUGUUUGUGCUUUUGGUGCACAAAGGCAGAAGGGAGUUGGACUAAAUGGCCCAAGGGGUCUCUUCCAACCAUUAUAUUAUUAUUAUUAUUUUAUUAUGACACAGCAAACAAGAUAGAUAUGCUGGAUUUCGUUUCACAAAAUCACAAGUCAAACACUUCCCAAGUGUCUAGGACUGUGUGAUGUAUUUUCGGAUGAUGCGUGCAGAUCCCAGCAGGGUGGCCUUUUGCAGUUGGCAGAUCGUAAUUUUGUCAAUGUCUAUUGUUUCCAAAUGCCGGCUGAGAUCUUUUGGCACGGCACCCAGUGUGCCCAUCACCACCGGGACAACCUGCACUGGUUUCUGCCAGAGUCUUUGAAGUUCAAUCUUGAGGUCCUGAUAGCGGCUGAGUUUUUCCUGUUGUUUUUCGUCAAUGCGACUGUCACCUGGGAUGGCAACAUCAAUCGACUGUCACCUGGGAUGGCAACAUCAAUGAUCCAAACCUUUUUCUUUUCCACAACUGUGAUGUCUGGUGUAUUGUGUUCCAGAACUUUGUCAGUCUGGAAUCAGAAGUCCCACAGUAUCUUUGCACACUCAUUUUCCAAUACUUUUGCAGGUUUGUGAUCCCACCAGUUCUUUACUGCUGGGAGGUGGUACUUGAGGCAUAAGUUCCAAUGAAUCAUUUGGGCCACAUAGUUGUGCCUGUUUGUAGUCUGUCUGUGUGAUUUUCUUACAGCAGCUGUGGAUAUGAUCAAUGGUUUCGUCGGUUUCCUUGCAGAGUCUCCAUUUUGGGUCAUCAGCUGAUUUUUCGAUCUUGGCCUUAAUUGCAUUUGUUCUGAUGGCUAGCUCCUGGGCUGCAAGGAUCAGGCCUUCUGUCUCCUUCUUCAGUGUCCCAUUCAUGAGCCACAGUCAGGUCUUCUCCUUAUCAGCUUUUCCUUCAAUUUUGUCAAGGAACUUUCCAUGCAAUGGUUUGUGUGCCAGCUGUCAGCUCUAGUUUGUAGUGCGGGUUUCUUGUACUGGUUUUUUGUCUGCUGUGCUUUGAGGAGUUUCUGAUUUUUGACUUCAAUCAAAGCAGGUUCUUCAAUUUCUUUUACAAAUUCUGCCAGGGCAUGUUCUUCUUCUUUGACUGCUUGUUUUACUUGUAAGAGUCCUCUGCCACCUGAUUUUCUAGGCAGAUAUAGCGAGUCAACAUCACUGCGAGGGUGCAGUGAAUGAUGAAUGGUUAUUUAUUUAUUUAUUACAUCACUUCUACCACGCCCUUCUCACCCAUCAGGGGACUCAGGGCGCUUUGAGUUUUCUUGUUUUUUUGUCCAAAUUGUUCAGUCCCGCCUGUGUCCAAUUUAUAAUGCGAGCAGUAUAUCUUAUGAGAGGUAUGGCCCAGGUGUUUAUGGCUUUGCUGGUGUUGCCUCCAUUGAGCUUGCUUUUGAGAAUUUUUCUGACCCUUUGGUAUAUUCUUUGCUGACCACAGUUUUCACAUGUUCAUGCUUGAUGUUGUCUAGCUGUAAUGUGCCCAGAUAUUCAUAGGCCUCUGGCUGGUGACACUUUAUUAUUUGGCCAUUAGGCAUAUUUAUGCCCUCACUUUCCAUGAUUUUUCCCUUCUUCAAGCCACUGUUGAACAUUUGUCCAAACCAAACUCCAUGCUGAUAUCAGUGCUAAAAAUUCAGACAGUGUUAGUCAGGAUUUCAGUUUGCAUUUUCCCAUAUAGCUUCAGGUCAUCCAUGUACAUCAGAUGCAAAAUUUUGUGAGAUUUUUUAGAUGUUUGAUAGCCGAGGUUUGUUUUUUGUAAGAUUGUUGACAUCAUGGCAAUAAUGAAAAGUAGAGGGGACAAUGAGUGUCCCUGGAAAAUUCUCCCUGGAAAAGUCCAUAGCUUUCAUUCCCAACAAACAGCUCAGUUUUCCAGUGCUCCAUCAUGUUUUCAAUAAAGGUGCCAACGUUUUUACUAAUCGCAAUGACGUCCAGGCACUUGAUGAUCCAGUUGUGUGGGAGUGAGUCAAAGGCCUUUUUGUAGUCAAUCCAAGUCAUGUGAAGAUUAGCUUUUCAGCUUUUACAGUUCUCCAGAAUCAUUUUUUCAAUUAAUGUCUUUUGUGCCCCUGCUUUUCCGUUUGUUGCCUUUCUAUUCAUCUGGCAAGAUGUUUUUUUUCCUUCAAGAUAGUCUUGAAUUCUGUCAGCUAUGAUGCCAGUCAGUAGUUUAAACAUAGUGGGCAGACACGUUAUUGGCUUGUAGUUUCCUGGUGCUGCUCCUUUUACUGGAUCCUUUUGUAUCAGGUAUGUUCUUCCAAUUGUUAGCCAUUCACUGAUACUUCCUUUCUGCAGCAUCUCAUUGAAUUGUUGGGCCAUUUUCCAUGUAAACUAACCAGCCAAAAUCCAUGAAGUUGAUCACUACCAGGUAAUGUCCAGUUCUUGACUUUUUGCACUCGUUUGCUGAUCAUUUCAGUUGUUAUUUCCAUCUGUUCCAUUUUGUUCUGUGAGAAUUUUCCUUCAAACUCCUUUAUCCACCCAGGGUUUUUGUUGUAAUUCUUAUUAUUUUCCCAAAGCUCUUUCCAGAACUUUGUUGUUGCAGUUUUCUCUGGCUUUAUGGUUACUGUGUCUGUUGUUUGGUUCAGGCUCUGGUAGAACCGUCUUUGGUCUGAUCGAAACAGUUGAUUUUGUCUGUACUGGAUGAUUCUGGCUUCAUAUCUUUCAAUUUUUCUGGCUGUUGCUGUAAUUUCUUCUUUCAUGAUCUCCAAAGCUUCUUCAAUUUUUCUGGUGUUCAGCACAGUACUUUCUGAUCAGGUAUUGCUUGAUUUUGUCAUUCUUCAGUUUCUUCUCUUUCAUAUUUUUCAGGUUACUUGCAUCUGAUCUAAGUUUCUUGAUUUUCAACUCUAGCCUGACCUUCCACUUUGGUUUUUCAGUUGAUUUUCUUUGGGGCUGCCUUGGUUGUAGGAGCCCAAGCUCUUUUGUUACUAUCACUGCUGCACUGUAGGCAUACUGGUUUGUUUGUUCAAUUGAUGUUAUUUGGACAGUGGAGAGUCCUGUAUUCACAUCUUUCAUGAGAGGUGCCAGGUGUCUCUUGGGCACUGUUUUUAGAGUUGGGAGCCACUUUCUUAUUGCACUUGCUGCAGCAUGAGCCAUGAUCUUAUCCUUGAGCUCUUGUUGUCUUGCUGUGAAGGUUCCUGGUGGUUCAACAGGUGUUUCAAGUGCUGGUUCUUCAAAUUCUUGCAAAAGCUCCACACUUUCUUCUGGUUCAAUCUGUUCCACCAUUCCAAGUGUUGCUGGAGUCUCUGCUGCUGUCUGUGCUGUAGUCUGAUGGUAUUUUGCUUUGCAGAUUUUCUGGAUUUCUUUGAGUUCAACUUCACUGAACACUUUGUUUCUGAUUAUGAAUCUUCGUUGGUCAGCCAGUUGGGGUUCUGUUAUCUGUGAGUCUGGGUACUCUUGUUUUCAUAGCCGAUGCAUCCUUUUUUGGUAGCCACGCUUUUGAGGUUCAGAUUUGUUAUAGCAUUUCAUAACUGUGCGGUUUUCUGGCAUUGUAUAUUUCUGCCGCUUCUGUGACUGUUCAUUUGUAUUUUGAUUCCGUAGCCCACUUGUUGAUGGAUGUCCAGAAUCAACAGAAUCCACCGCGGUCCUUUUUAUCCUGGGUGACGACCGAGCCAGUAUAAACUUCAUUUUGGUUUGAUUCUCCAUAAUGCUAAUGGGUUAUGUGCUCUUAGUUCUACUCCUCAGCUGAGACCUCUCUGGCUUGGUUGGACCUGCUGGUAGUUACACUACCGCCAGCACAGCUCUCAGUCAUCAUUGGAGUAGUUAAGCCCCCCCCCCACCACAGCAAGGUGGCACCUACGGGGGGGGGGGUAUUAUUAUUUAAUCUG